AUUGAACGCUGGCGGCAGGCCUAACACAUGCGAGUCGAGCGGAUGAAGGGAGCUUGCUCCUGGAUUCAGCGGCGGACGGGUGAGUGAUGCCUAGGAAUCUGCCUGGUAGUGGGGGAUAACGUCCGGAAACGGGCGCUAAUACCGCAUACGUCCUGAGGGAGAAAGUGGGGGAUCUUCGGACCUCACGCUAUCAGAUGAGCCUAGGUCGGAUUAGCUAGUUGGUGGGGUAAAGGCCUACCAAGGCGACGAUCCGUAACUGGUCUGAGAGGAUGAUCAGUCACACUGGAACUGAGACACGGUCCAGACUCCUACGGGAGGCAGCAGUGGGGAAUAUUGGACAAUGGGCGAAAGCCUGAUCCAGCCAUGCCGCGUGUGUGAAGAAGGUCUUCGGAUUGUAAAGCACUUUAAGUUGGGAGGAAGGGCAGUAAGUUAAUACCUUGCUGUUUUGACGUUACCAACAGAAUAAGCACCGGCUAACUUCGUG
Molecule: ribosomal RNA, 484 nt
Filed under: uncultured bacterium
Lineage: Bacteria
Description: partial 16S ribosomal RNA
Rfam family: Bacterial small subunit ribosomal RNA
Source: RNAcentral